AGAGUUUGAUCCUGGCUCAGAUUGAACGCUGGCGGCGUGGAUUAGGCAUGCAAGUCGAACGGGAUUGUUUUGAUUGAACCUUCGGGUGAUUUCAUUUCAUGAGAGUGGCGAACGGGUGAGUAAUGUAUGAACAACUUGCCUCUAAGUUUGGGACAGCCCAUGGAAACGUGGAUUAAUACCGGAUGUGCUCGAGUGUCGCAUGACACUCUGCGUAAAGGUGGGGACUCUUCGGAGCCUGCCGCUUAGAGAUGGGUUCAUAUCGUAUCAGCUAGUUGGUGAGGUAACGGCUCACCAAGGCUUUGACGCGUAGCUGGUCUGAGAGGAUGAUCAGCCACACUGGGACUGAGACACUGCCCAGACUCCUACGGGAGGCUGCAGUCGAGAAUCAUUCGCAAUGCACGAAAGUGUGACGAUGCGACGCCGCGUGGAGGAUGACGGCCUUCGGGUUGUAAACUCCUGUCAUUAGGGAGCAACAGUUCAUCAUCUAAUAGAUGUUGAAUUUGAUAGUACCUAAAGAGGAAGUCACGGCUAACUCUGUGCCAGCAGCCGCGGUAAUACAGAGGUGGCAAGCGUUAAUCGGAAUUACUGGGCGUAAAGGGUCCGUAGGCGGUUCGAUGUGUCGGAUGUGAAAUGCAACAGCUCAACUGUUGAAUGGCAUUCGAAACUGUCGAACUAGAGUUCUGGAGGGGAGAAGGGAACAGUUGGUGUAGCGGUGAAAUGCGUAGAUAUCAACUGGAACACCGGUGGCGAAGGCGCUUCUCUGGACAGAUACUGACGCUCAUGGACGAAAGCCAAGGGAGCGAAAGGGAUUAGAUACCCCUGUAGUCUUAGCAGUAAACGGUGUGCACUUGUUGUUGGUGGUUUAACCCCCAUCAGUGACGGAGCUAACGCGUUAAGUGCACCGCCUGGGGAGUACGGUCGCAGGAUUAAAACUCAAAGGAAUUGACGGGGGCCCGCACAAGCGGUGGAGCAUGUGGCUUAAUUCGAUGCAACGCGAAGAACCUUACCUGGACUUGACAUAGUGACCCUUCGGGGGUGUUGAGGAAACUCGCUUUACGCAUACAGGUGCUGCAUGGCUGUCGUCAGCUCGUGCCGUGAGGUGUUGGGUUAAGUCCCGCAACGAGCGCAACCCUCGUGUUUAGUUGCCAUCAGGUAAUGCUGGGCACUCUAAACAGACUGCCUGUGAUAAGCAGGAGGAAGGUGGGGAUGACGUCAAGUCAGUAUGGUCCUUAUGUCCAGGGCUGCACACGUGCUACAAUGGUCGGUACAGAAGGAAGCUAGACCGCGAGGUGGAGCAAAUCCCUAAAGCCGGCCCCAGUUCGGAUUGUAGUCUGCAACUCGACUACAUGAAGUCGGAAUCGCUAGUAAAGGCGUAUCAGCUACGACGCCUUGAAUACGUUCCCGGGCCUUGUACACACCGCCCGUCACAUCACGAAAGUUGUCUGCACCCGAAGUCGCUGAUCUAACCCUUUAUUGGGAGGAAGGCGCCGAAGGUGUGGGGGAUGAUUGGGAUGAAGUCGUAACAAGGUA
Molecule: ribosomal RNA, 1530 nt
Filed under: metagenome
Description: bacterial SSU rRNA
Rfam family: Bacterial small subunit ribosomal RNA
Source: RNAcentral